This 259-nucleotide ribosomal RNA is filed under the name uncultured prokaryote. RNAcentral describes it as "partial 16S ribosomal RNA". It matches the Rfam family "Bacterial small subunit ribosomal RNA", at positions 524 to 782 of the family's 1533-position model. The record is from RNAcentral.
UACGGAGGAUCCGAGCGUUAUCCGGAUUUAUUGGGUUUAAAGGGUGCGCAGGCGGGAUGUUAAGUCGGCGGUGAAAUUUUGCAGCUCAACUGUAAAAGUGCCUUCGAUACUGGCUUCCUUGAGUGUGGAUGAAGUAGGCGGAAUUUGUGGUGUAGCGGUGAAAUGCUUAGAUAUGACGCAGAACUCCGAUUGCGAAGGCAGCUUACUGGGAUGCAACUGACGCUGAGGCACGAAAGCGUGGGUAUCAAACAGGAUUAGA